RNAcentral lists this unclassified non-coding RNA (332 nucleotides) under soil metagenome. RNAcentral's name for it is "partial contains 5.8S ribosomal RNA, internal transcribed spacer 2, and large subunit ribosomal RNA". The stretch from base 1 to 119 matches the Rfam family "5.8S ribosomal RNA", at positions 35 to 154 of the family's 154-position model. The record is from RNAcentral.
GAUGAAGAACGUAGCGAAAUGCGAUAAGUAAUGCGAAUUGCAGAAUCCGUGAGUCAUCGAAUCUUUGAACGCACAUUGCGCCCCUCGGUAUUCCGUGGGGCAUGCCUGUUCGAGCGUCAUUUACCCCUCAAGCACUGCUUGGUGUUGGGCGUCUGUCCCGCUUCGCGCGCGGACUCGCCCCAAAGGUAUUGGCAGCGGUCGUGCCAGCUUCUCGCGCAGCACAUUGCGCUUCUCGAGGCGGUCGAUCGGCGUCCACGAAGCUCACCUCCACCGUUUGACCUCGGAUCAGGUAGGGAUACCCGCUGAACUUAAGCAUAUCAAUAAGCGGAGGA